RNAcentral lists this ribosomal RNA (253 nucleotides) under uncultured bacterium. Its description in RNAcentral is "partial 16S ribosomal RNA". It matches the Rfam family "Bacterial small subunit ribosomal RNA", at positions 524 to 776 of the family's 1533-position model. The record is from RNAcentral.
UACGAAGGGGGCUAGCGUUGCUCGGAAUCACUGGGCGUAAAGCGCACGUAGGCGGCUUCUUAAGUCAGGGGUGAAAUCCUGGAGCUCAACUCCAGAACUGCCUUUGAUACAGCACGUCUUGAGUCCGGAAGAGGUGGGUGGAAUUCCUAGUGUAGAGGUGAAAUUCGUAGAUAUUAGGAAGAACACCGGUGGCGAAGGCGGCCCACUGGUCCGGUACUGACGCUGAGGUGCGAAAGCGUGGGGAGCAAACAGG